CGGGGUGCACCAGGCGCGAAAACUUUACAAUGCGGGAAACCGUGAUAAGGGGACACCGAGUGCCAGCAUCAUAUGCUGGCUGUCCGGGUGUGUAAAAUACACCCGUUAGCAAGGGCCGGGCAAGACCGGUGCCAGCCGCCGCGGUAACACCGGCGGCCCGAGUGGUGAUCGUGAUUAUUGGGUCUAAAGGGUCCGUAGCCGGUUUGGUCAGUCCUCCGGGAAAUCUGACGGCUCAACCGUUAGGCUUUCGGGGGAUACUGCCAGGCUUGGAACCGGGAGAGGUAAGAGGUACUACAGGGGUAGGAGUGAAAUCUUGUAAUCCCUGUGAGACCACCUGUGGCGAAGGCGUCUUACCAGAACGGGUUCGACGGUGAGGGACGAAAGCUGGGGGCACGAACCGGAUUAGAUACCCGGGUAGUCCCAGCCGUAAACGAUGCUCGCUAGGUGUCAGGCAUGGCGCGACCGUGUCUGGUGCCGCAGGGAAGCCGUGAAGCGAGCCACCUGGGAAGUACGGCCGCAAGGCUGAAACUUAAAGGAAUUGGCGGGGAGCACAAGGGCGAUUGC
RNAcentral lists this ribosomal RNA (564 nucleotides) under uncultured archaeon. Its description in RNAcentral is "bacterial SSU rRNA". It matches the Rfam family "Archaeal small subunit ribosomal RNA", at positions 326 to 891 of the family's 1478-position model. The record is from RNAcentral.